GUGAAUCAUCGAAUUUUUGAACGCAAAUUGCACUCUCUGGUAUUCCGGAGAGUAUGCCUGUUUGAGGGUCAGUUUUAAUCAAAAUCGGUGUGGUUGCUGCCUUUUGUGGUGACGCACCGGUGGUGGGUCGCCCUGUCUUCGGUUAAGUGACCUAAAAUUUUGUAUGAUUUCUUAGAACGUAUUUAAAUGAUAUUACGUAAGUUUGAGAUACCGAAUACUAGGCGUGGACA
This 230-nucleotide unclassified non-coding RNA is filed under the name Glomeraceae sp. Its description in RNAcentral is "partial contains 5.8S ribosomal RNA and internal transcribed spacer 2". The stretch from base 1 to 71 matches the Rfam family "5.8S ribosomal RNA", at positions 84 to 154 of the family's 154-position model. Lineage: Eukaryota; Fungi; Glomeromycota; Glomeromycetes; Glomerales; Glomeraceae. The record is from RNAcentral.